Molecule: long non-coding RNA, 264 nt
Filed under: Fukomys damarensis (Damara mole-rat)
Lineage: Eukaryota; Metazoa; Chordata; Mammalia; Rodentia; Bathyergidae
Description: lncRNA (ENSFDAG00000029543.1)
Source: RNAcentral
CAAACGUCAGAUGAACAAAUCCAGCUGUCCGGCUCUCUGAUCCUUAGGAUCAGAGAAAUCCUAGAGUUUAGAAGAGAUGAAUUUGAGAAAGCUGAAAGUGGAAAAUGUGAAAUCUCAGUUAUCUGGGAUUAAAAGACACAAUUGAAUCUUCCUGAGAGGACUGCGAACCUAGAGCCUGGAUACUAUUCAUCUAUGAAGGGCGGGAAGACAGAUCUUCUGUAACCGGUAGGACAAUGUAUUUAUUUGUCUUGAACUAAGCAGAGG